AUGGCCGGUGGCAGCCUGGAGACGGCGUGGGAGCUCGCCGAACUUUUCGUCCUCCGCCCCGUCCUGGCCGUCACCUUCGUCAUAUCAUUCAUCCUGCUGAGCUGGUAUGUGGCGUGGAGGACGGUGCUGGUGCACGUCCCGCUCGUGCAGGAGAUCGCCGGGCUGCGCCGGAAGAAGCCCGUCAAGCCCAAGCCCCCCAACCGCGGGCGCAUCGCCAGGUUCUACGAGUCGCAAGCCCAGAGGUGA
This 246-nucleotide ribosomal RNA is filed under the name Triticum aestivum (bread wheat). RNAcentral describes it as "partial small subunit ribosomal RNA". The record is from RNAcentral. Lineage: Eukaryota; Viridiplantae; Streptophyta; Magnoliopsida; Poales; Poaceae.